UUGCGAACUCCUACGGGAGGCAGCAGUGGGGAAUAUUGCGCAAUGGGGGGAACCCUGACGCAGCCAUGCCGCGUGAAUGAAGAAGGCCUUCGGGUUGUAAAGUUCUUUCGGUAUUGAGGAAGGGAUGUGUGCUAACAGUACACGUCAUUGACGUUAAAUACAGAAGAAGCACCGGCUAACUCCGUGCCAGCAGCCGCGGUAAUACGGAGGGUGCGAGCGUUAAUCGGAAUAACUGGGCGUAAAGGGCACGAAGGCGAUUAUUUAAGUGAGGUGUGAAAGCCCCGGGCUUAACCUGGGAAUUGCAUUUCAGACUGGGUAAAUAGAGUACUUUAGGGAGGGGUAGAAUUCCACGUGUAGCGGUGAAAUGCGUAGAGAAGUGGAGGAAUACCGAAGGCGAAGGCAGCCCCUUGGGAAUGUACUGACGCUCAUGUGCGAAAGCGUGGGGAGCAAACAGGAUUAGAAACCCCGGUAGUCCAGAAGUG
RNAcentral lists this ribosomal RNA (482 nucleotides) under uncultured bacterium. RNAcentral describes it as "bacterial SSU rRNA". It matches the Rfam family "Bacterial small subunit ribosomal RNA", at positions 329 to 804 of the family's 1533-position model. The record is from RNAcentral.